This 1343-nucleotide ribosomal RNA is filed under the name uncultured bacterium. Its description in RNAcentral is "16S ribosomal RNA". It matches the Rfam family "Bacterial small subunit ribosomal RNA", at positions 28 to 1378 of the family's 1533-position model. The record is from RNAcentral.
GACGAACGCUGGCGGCGUGCUUAACACAUGCAAGUCGAACGGAAAGGCCCUGCUUUUGUGGGGUGCUCGAGUGGCGAACGGGUGAGUAACACGUGAGUAACCUGCCCUUGACUUUGGGAUAACUUCAGGAAACUGGGGCUAAUACCGGAUAGGAGCUCCUGCUGCAUGGCGGGGGUUGGAAAGUUUCGGCGGUUGGGGAUGGACUCGCGGCUUAUCAGUUUGUUGGUGGGGUAGUGGCUUACCAAGGCUUUGACGGGUAGCCGGCCUGAGAGGGUGACCGGCCACAUUGGGACUGAGAUACGGCCCAGACUCCUACGGGAGGCAGCAGUGGGGAAUAUUGCACAAUGGGCGGAAGCCUGAUGCAGCAACGCCGCGUGCGGGAUGACGGCCUUCGGGUUGUAAACCGCUUUCGCCUGUGACGAAGCGUGAGUGACGGUAAUGGGUAAAGAAGCACCGGCUAACUACGUGCCAGCAGCCGCGGUGAUACGUAGGGUGCGAGCGUUGUCCGGAUUUAUUGGGCGUAAAGGGCUCGUAGGUGGUUGAUCGCGUCGGAAGUGUAAUCUUGGGGCUUAACCCUGAGCGUGCUUUCGAUACGGGUUGACUUGAGGAAGGUAGGGGAGAAUGGAAUUCCUGGUGGAGCGGUGGAAUGCGCAGAUAUCAGGAGGAACACCAGUGGCGAAGGCGGUUCUCUGGGCCUUUCCUGACGCUGAGGAGCGAAAGCGUGGGGAGCGAACAGGCUUAGAUACCCUGGUAGUCCACGCUGUAAACGGUGGGUACUAGGUGUGGGGUCCAUUCCACGGGUUCCGUGCCGUAGCUAACGCUUUAAGUACCCCGCCUGGGGAGUACGGCCGCAAGGCUAAAACUCAAAGGAAUUGACGGGGCCCCGCACAAGCGGCGGAGCAUGCGGAUUAAUUCGAUGCAACGCGUAGAACCUUACCUGGGUUUGACAUGGAUCGGGAGUGCUCAGAGAUGGGUGUGCCUCUUUUGGGGUCGGUUCACAGGUGGUGCAUGGCUGUCGUCAGCUCGUGUCGUGAGAUGUUGGGUUAGGUCCCGCAACGAGCGCAACCCUUGUUCACUGUUGCCAGCACGUUAUGGUGGGGACUCAGUGGAGACCGCCGGGGUCAACUCGGAGGAAGGUGGGGAUGACGUCAAGUCAUCAUGCCCCUUAUGUCCAGGGCUUCACGCAUGCUACAAUGGCUGGUACAGAGAGUGGCGAGCCUGUGAGGGUGAGCGAAUCUCGGAAAGCCGGUCUCAGUUCGGAUUGGGGUCUGCAACUCGACCUCAUGAAGUCGGAGUCGCUAGUAAUCGCAGAUCAGCAACGCUGCGGUGAAUACGUUCCCGGG